RNAcentral lists this ribosomal RNA (509 nucleotides) under uncultured bacterium. RNAcentral's name for it is "bacterial SSU rRNA". It matches the Rfam family "Bacterial small subunit ribosomal RNA", at positions 19 to 518 of the family's 1533-position model. The record is from RNAcentral.
AUGGCUCAGGAUGAACGCUAGCUACAGGCUUAACACAUGCAAGUCGAGGGGCAGCAUGUGGUUGCUUGCAACCAAUGAUGGCGACCGGCGCACGGGUGAGUAACGCGUAUCCAACCUCCCCCACAGUAGAGGAUAGCCCGGCGAAAGUCGGAUUAAUACUCUAUGUUGUAUUUUGAGGACAUCUGACGAAUACCAAAGGUUUACCGCUAUGGGAUGGGGAUGCGUCUGAUUAGGUAGUCGGCGGGGUAACGGCCCACCGAGCCAUCGAUCAGUAGGGGUUCUGAGAGGAAGGUCCCCCACAUUGGUACUGAGACACGGACCAAACUCCUACGGGAGGCAGCAGUGAGGAAUAUUGGUCAAUGGGCGCGAGCCUGAACCAGCCAAGUAGCGUGCAGGACGACUGCCCUAUGGGUUGUAAACCGCUUUUGCGAGGGAGCAAUAAGGUCCACGUGUGGGCCGAUGAGAGUACCUCGCGAAUAAGCAUCGGCUAACUCCGUGCCAGCAGCUGC